Molecule: ribosomal RNA, 296 nt
Filed under: Mesorhizobium sp. M8A.F.Ca.ET.207.01.1.1
Lineage: Bacteria; Pseudomonadati; Pseudomonadota; Alphaproteobacteria; Hyphomicrobiales; Phyllobacteriaceae
Description: partial 23S ribosomal RNA
Rfam family: Bacterial large subunit ribosomal RNA
Source: RNAcentral
GAGUGACUGCGUACCUUUUGUAUAAUGGGUCAGCGACUUACUGUUCGUGGCAAGCUUAACCGUAUAGGGGAGGCGAAGGGAAACCGAGUCUGAUAAGGGCGCAUAGUCGCGGGCAGUAGACCCGAAACCGGGUGAUCUAGUCAUGCCCAGGGUGAAGGUGCGGUAACACGCACUGGAGGCCCGAACCCACUCCCGUUGCAAAGGUAGGGGAUGAGGUGUGAUUAGGAGUGAAAAGCUAAUCGAACCCGGAGAUAGCUGGUUCUCAUAGAAAGCUAUUUAGGUAGCGCCUCAUAUGU